GCUAAGCAUUAAUAUAUUUGAUUCACCGAUUUGAUUUUAUUUCUUUAAUUUUAUUUUGCAAUUGUUUUUAUUUUAUUUUAAUUUACUUUAUAUUUGUUUAUUUUAUUUUCUUUAUCAACUAAACCUCAUUUUUUAUUUAUUUUACAGCUUUGCACGCACAAGGCGAGGGCACAACAACUGUCUAGACUCAAAAAUAUGGUCGCAUAAAUAGGAAAAUUAAGAAUCUCAGUCCCUGUAGAAUCAACCCUACUACUCUAUACUACUAUUUUAUUAAG
RNAcentral lists this long non-coding RNA (275 nucleotides) under Gossypium raimondii (Peruvian cotton). RNAcentral's name for it is "long non-coding RNA (GRAI_LNC010753)". The record is from RNAcentral. Lineage: Eukaryota; Viridiplantae; Streptophyta; Magnoliopsida; Malvales; Malvaceae.